RNAcentral lists this long non-coding RNA (242 nucleotides) under Oryza brachyantha (malo sina). RNAcentral's name for it is "long non-coding RNA (OBRA_LNC002653)". Lineage: Eukaryota; Viridiplantae; Streptophyta; Magnoliopsida; Poales; Poaceae. The record is from RNAcentral.
GAGCAGGGACGGUGAUGGGUCGACGACGAUGAUUCUACGACGACGACGAUGACUGGGUGCUGAUGUGCUUUUUUCUUUCUUUCUUUUUUUUUUCUUUCAUGUACUGUAUGAUUUUUUUACUUCAUUUUGAUCUCUUUUCGUUGCAUGCUAUUAGAAUUGAUAAACUCAGAUUGCUUUUAAGAGAGUAAUAUUGUUUGUUUUGAGGUAUUCUCACCAAAGGUGACUAUAACAACUAUCCAUCG